UGAACGCUAGCGGCAGGCCUAACACAUGCAAGUCGAGGGGCAGCGGGGAAAAGCUUGCUUUUCCGCCGGCGACCGGCGCACGGGUGCGCACCGCGUAUGGAACCUGCCUUGUACAGGGGAAUAGCCCAGGGAAACUUGGAUUAAUGCCCCGUAGUACCGUAUUUCGGCAUCGUUAUACGGUUAAAGCCUUCGGGCGGUACAAGAUGGCCAUGCGUCCCAUUAGCUGGAUGGUAAGGUAACGGCUUACCAUGGCUACGAUGGGUAGGGGCCCUGAGAGGGGGAUCCCCCACACUGGUACUGAGACACGGACCAGACUCCUACGGGAGGCAGCAGUGAGGAAUAUUGGACAAUGGAGGAGACUCUGAUCCAGCCAUGCCGCGUGCAGGAAGAAUGCCCUAUGGGUAGUAAACUGCUUUUAUACGGGAAGAAAAAGAGCUACGUGUAGCUUACUGACGGUACCGUAAGAAUAAGGACCGGCUAACUCCGUGCCAGCAGCCGCGGUAAUACGGAGGGUCCGAGCGUUAUCCGGAAUUAUUGGGUUUAAAGGGUCCGUAGGCGGGCCGAUAAGUCAGGGGUGAAAGUCUGCCGCUCAACGGUAGAACUGCCUUUGAUACUGUCGGUCUUGAGUUAUAGUGAAGUUGCCGGAAUAUGUAGUGUAGCGGUGAAAUGCAUAGAUAUUACAUAGAACACCGAUUGCGAAGGCAGGUGACUAACUAUAUACUGACGCUGUUGGACGAAAGCGUGGGGAGCGAACAGGAUUAGAUACCCUGGUAGUCCACGCCGUAAACGAUGGAUACUAGCUGUCCGGAACCUUGAGUUCUGGGCGGCCAAGCGAAAGUGAUAA
Molecule: ribosomal RNA, 844 nt
Filed under: uncultured Maribacter sp.
Lineage: Bacteria; Pseudomonadati; Bacteroidota; Flavobacteriia; Flavobacteriales; Flavobacteriaceae
Description: bacterial SSU rRNA
Rfam family: Bacterial small subunit ribosomal RNA
Source: RNAcentral